GGGGCAUUAGCUCAGUUGGUAGAGCGCUGCCUUUGCAAGGCAGAUGUCAGGAGUUCGAGUCUCCUAUGCUCCAC
RNAcentral lists this transfer RNA (74 nucleotides) under Kitasatospora aureofaciens. RNAcentral's name for it is "tRNA-Ala(tgc)". It matches the Rfam family "tRNA". From Rfam's summary of the family: Transfer RNA (tRNA) molecules are approximately 80 nucleotides in length. The record is from RNAcentral. RNAcentral also lists the same sequence under 5 other names. Lineage: Bacteria; Bacillati; Actinomycetota; Actinomycetes; Kitasatosporales; Streptomycetaceae.